GGUCAUUGAGGUGAGGCCAGGGUGCUGGUCGACCUUUGCUCUGUGGCCUAGGAAGAAGGUUUGAGAGUCUCAAGCCUUGCAGGCAGAUCAAGUGGUAAACGAACAGGUACCAGCCAACAAAGGGACAUGGAAACUAGCAGGUGUUCCACAUGUAUGCAGGUGCCUGAGGCGGUCAGAACAAGUCUCUGGAGCUGGAGUUACAGGCAGUUGUGAGCCACUUGGAAACUGAAACCGGGUCCUCUGGAAGAGCAUCGUGAGCUCUUAGCCUCUGAGUCAUCUCUCCAGCCCCACAAGCAUCGAACGUUAAUUUAACCAAGCAUGGCUCAUCAAAAAUGUAUUAGAAGUAGAGACAGGGAAGUCUCCAGCAGGAGGUGUGGCCCAGAUCAAAGGUGUGUACCAUCACACCUGGAUCUGGGACUUGCUUUGUCCCAGGCUGACCUUGAACUCAGAGAUCUCCUUGCCUUAGUCUCCUGGGAUUACAGGCAUGUACUACCUUGCCUGGGCCUAAGCUUUUCCUGGCCACUAUGCCUCAAGAUCUCCAUGUCAAGAUCCAGGUCAGAAACUUGUGUCUUCCAGCCUCAAGAUCUGGAUCACAGGUGAGCCCUCCAAUUGUGGAUUGUAGUUCAUCCCAGAUAGAGUUAGGUUGACAACCAGGAAGAGCCACCACACGCCUU
Molecule: long non-coding RNA, 674 nt
Filed under: Mus caroli (Ryukyu mouse)
Lineage: Eukaryota; Metazoa; Chordata; Mammalia; Rodentia; Muridae
Description: lncRNA (MGP_CAROLIEiJ_G0004587.1)
Source: RNAcentral